This is a non-coding RNA of Pelobates cultripes (western spadefoot toad), 210 nucleotides long. Lineage: Eukaryota; Metazoa; Chordata; Amphibia; Anura; Pelobatidae. The record is from the annotation of a GenBank genome assembly.
UAAAGAUCUGCUAAGCAAGUAUGUCCAGGGGUUUAAGUUGGGAGCUCUAUGAAAAAUUCUUUUAAUCAGGUUGUAUAUCUGUGUCCAAAAGGAUUGUGCUUGGGGGCAUUCCCACCACAUGUGAAUGCAUGUGCCCCUAAGGCCGCAUCCCCUCCAACAGUUAUCAGUUGGUGUUUUUCAUGCAAUGCAGUUUGGCCGGUGUAGUGUACC